This 76-nucleotide small RNA is filed under the name Xanthomonas pisi. RNAcentral describes it as "sX9 sRNA". It matches the Rfam family "Xanthomonas sRNA sX9". RNAcentral also lists the same sequence under 1 other name. Lineage: Bacteria; Pseudomonadati; Pseudomonadota; Gammaproteobacteria; Lysobacterales; Lysobacteraceae. The record is from RNAcentral.
AUGUACCGCGCGUACAGUCCGGCUCCUCCGCGCCGUCCUUACCCACCUGAGGAGCGCUCGCGACGUUUUGUGAGCC